GUCCAUCCUUUUUCAUCUGUUUCCUUGGCCAAGUUACUCCAUGUAUCCAAUAGUGAGUCUAUCAUCUCUUUAUGCGCAGCAUAUUGGAAUGGGGUCCAUAGUCUUUCAUCUGUUACUCCGAGUAAUCUUUUGCCUUUGUCCAUUAGCUUGUUUAUCAUCACCAAUUUUACUGAUUGACCUAAACUUAUGGAAGAGCUCUGCACUACUGCUGCAUGUAAUGCCGUUUUACCAUUGGGGCCGCCAUAAGUCGGUGAUAGUAGUUGUUGAUGACAUACCAGUUUAUCGAGUAUCUCAUAACAUCCAUUUUCAGCAGCCAGGUAAAUUGGAGUUUCCUCACAAUCAUUGGCAGAAUAUUUAAACCCAUCAUGAUCAUGAACUUCAUAAUUUAAUAUUUCUUUCACAACAUCCAGACCUUUUUCAUUUCGUGCGGCCUCAUGCAAUGCCGUUUCUUCAAUUUUAUUUCUCAUCCUUAACAUCUCCUUUACAGCUUUCAUUUCUUCCAUUUCCCUCUUUUUUGGAUCUUCUCCCCUUUCUAUAUCUAUUUCACGAUGCACUGACGCCUUUGCCCGUUCGAUUAGCUCUUUUGCUGCAUCAGUAUGCCCGCACCUGGCUGCAAUGUGCAGCGGAGUAUCACCGUGGUUAUUGACCUGCAGUAACAGUGACGGACAAAUGCCAACUACCUCUUUUAUAAAAUUGGUGGUUCUUUUUUUUGAAGAGGUAAGGUAGAUAUGUAAUAUUGUGUUUUCAUUUGGGGUCAGUAGGCAACCAAGAUUCCCCUGAUAAGCCUUGAAUGGAUCAAGUUUGCCUUUUUUGGCCGCCUCCUGUAAGUCUGCAUUAAUGUAGCGGUGGGUGGUCAUUGCAGCGUAG
Molecule: unclassified non-coding RNA, 867 nt
Filed under: Hevea brasiliensis (rubber tree)
Lineage: Eukaryota; Viridiplantae; Streptophyta; Magnoliopsida; Malpighiales; Euphorbiaceae
Source: RNAcentral